GACCAGACUCCUACGGGAGGCAGUAGUGAGGAAUAUUGGUCAAUGGCCGAGAGGCUGAACCAGCCAAGUCGCGUGAGGGAAGACGGCCCUACGGGUUGUAAACCUCUUUUGUCGGGGAGCAAAGCGAGUCACGUGUGACUCAUUGAGAGUACCCGAAGAAAAAGCAUCGGCUAACUCCGUGCCAGCAGCCGCGGUAAUACGGAGGAUGCGAGCGUUAUCCGGAUUUAUUGGGUUUAAAGGGUGCGUAGGCGGACUGGAAAGUCAGCGGUAAAAUCGAGAGGCUCAACCUCUUUCCGCCGUUGAAACUGUCAGUCUUGAGUGGGCGAGAAGUAUGCGGAAUGCGUGGUGUAGCGGUGAAAUGCAUAGAUAUCACGCAGAACUCCGAUUGCGAAGGCAGCAUACCGGCGCCCGACUGACGCUGAGGCACGAAAGCGUGGGUAUCGAACAGGAUUAGAUACCCCAGUA
RNAcentral lists this ribosomal RNA (465 nucleotides) under uncultured bacterium. Its description in RNAcentral is "bacterial SSU rRNA". It matches the Rfam family "Bacterial small subunit ribosomal RNA", at positions 329 to 792 of the family's 1533-position model. The record is from RNAcentral.